RNAcentral lists this ribosomal RNA (292 nucleotides) under uncultured bacterium. Its description in RNAcentral is "partial 16S ribosomal RNA". The record is from RNAcentral.
GGACUACUGGGGUAUCUAAUCCUGUUUGCUCCCCACGCUUUCGCACCUCAGCGUCAGUACCGGACCAGUGAGCCGCCUUCGCCACUGGUGUUCUUCCUAAUAUCUACGAAUUCCACCUCUACACUAGGAGUUCCACUCACCUCUUCCGGACUCAAGAUCGCCAGUAUCGAAGGCAGUUCUGGAGUUGAGCUCCAGGAUUUCACCCCCGACUUAACGAUCCGCCUACGUGCGCUUUACGCCCAGUAAAUCCGAACAACGCUAGCCCCCUUCGUAUUACCGCGGCUGCUGGCAC